AUGGCGAAGGCAGCUUUCUGGACCAAUACUGACGCUGAGGUACGAAAGCGUGGGUAGCAAACAGGAUUAGAUACCCUGGUAGUCCACGCCGUAAACGAUGAUAACUAGCCGUUGGGAGGGUUUACCUCUUAGUGGCGAAGCUAACGCGUUAAGUUAUCCGCCUGGGGAGUACGGCCGCAAGGCUAAAACUCAAAGGAAUUGACGGGGACCCGCACAAGCGGUGGAGCAUGUGGUUUAAUUCGAUGCAACGCGAAGAACCUUACCUGGUCUUGACAUACAGAGAACUUUCCAGAGAUGGAUUGGUGCCUUCGGGAACUCUGAUACAGGUGCUGCAUGGCUGUCGUCAGCUCGUGUCGUGAGAUGUUGGGUUAAGUCCCGUAACGAGCGCAACCCUUAUCCUUAUUUGCCAGCACUUCGGGUGGGAACUAUAAGGAGACUGCCGGUGAUAAACCGGAGGAAGGCGGGGACGACGUCAAGUCAUCAUGGCCCUUACGACCAGGGCUACACACGUGCUACAAUGGGAAGGACAAAGGGUCGCUAAGCCGCGAGGUGGUGCUAAUCUCAUAAACCUUUUCGUAGUCCGGAUCGGAGUCUGCAACUCGACUCCGUGGAGUCGGAAUCGCUAGUAAUCGUGGAUCAGAACGCCACGGUGAAUACGUUCCCGGGUCU
Molecule: ribosomal RNA, 669 nt
Filed under: uncultured bacterium
Lineage: Bacteria
Description: bacterial SSU rRNA
Rfam family: Bacterial small subunit ribosomal RNA
Source: RNAcentral